UGGGUAACCUGCCUCAAAGAGGGGAAUAGCCUCCCGAAAGGGAGAUUAAUACCGCAUAAUAUGUUUUAAUCGCAUGAUUUUAACAUCAAAGGAUUUUCUUCGGAACUUCCACUUUGAGAUGGACCCGCGGCGCAUUAGCUAGUUGGUGAGGUAACAGCUCACCAAGGCAACGAUGCGUAGCCGACCUGAGGAGGGUGAUCGGCCACAUUGGAACUGAGACGACGGUCAGACCUCUACGGGAG
Molecule: ribosomal RNA, 242 nt
Filed under: uncultured bacterium
Lineage: Bacteria
Description: partial 16S ribosomal RNA
Rfam family: Bacterial small subunit ribosomal RNA
Source: RNAcentral